GACGAACGCUGGCGGCGUGCUUAACACAUGCAAGUCGAGCGAUGAAGCACCUUCGGGUGUGAAUUAGCGGCGAACGGGUGAGGAACACGUGAGAAAUCUGCCUUCAACUCUGGGAUAACUCCGUGAAAACGGGGCUAAUACCGGAUAUGAGAUCUACAGGCAUCUGUGGAUCUGGAAAGUUUUUCGGUUGAAGAUGAUCUCGCGGCCUAUCAGCUUGUUGGUGAGGUAAUGGCUCACCAAGGCGACGACGGGUAGCCGGCCUGAGAGGGCGACCGGCCACACUGGGACUGAGACACGGCCCAGACUCCUACGGGAGGCAGCAGUGGGGAAUAUUGGGCAAUGGAGGAAACUCUGACCCAGCGACGCCGCGUGCGGGAUGAAGGCCUUUGGGUUGUAAACCGCUUUCAGCAGGGAAGAAGCGAAAGUGACGGUACCUGCAGAAGAAGCACCGGCUAACUAUGUGCCAGC
RNAcentral lists this ribosomal RNA (468 nucleotides) under uncultured bacterium. RNAcentral describes it as "bacterial SSU rRNA". It matches the Rfam family "Bacterial small subunit ribosomal RNA", at positions 28 to 512 of the family's 1533-position model. The record is from RNAcentral.